CUCCCGGAGUAGUUAGUGCCAGUGAAGUGCGGGCGGCGAUGAGAGCGAAAGUUGCGCUCGGCUUGGCGCUGGGGGCUUGAAGCGGCUCCGCGCUCCGCCCGCCAGGGCCGCCCCAGCCCCAACUCGCGCCCGCGGGCUCCUGCCGCGCCCGCCCGGCCCCGCGCCCGCCCGCACCCCCUCCCCCCGGCCGGGCGCCCCCUCCUCAGGAGCUGAGGGUCCCCGCCACUUUCGCCCGGCCCCGGCCCCCGCUGAUGCCGGCCAUGGUGGAGAAGGGCCCCGAGGUCUCAGGGAAGCGCAGAGGAAGGAACAACGCGGCCAGCGCGGCCGCCUCGGCUGCCGCCGCUUCGUCCGCCGGCGCCUCGGCCGCCUCGGCCGCCGCCGCCGCCGCCGCCGCCUCCUCGGCCACCGCCUCGGCCGCCGCCGCCUCCGCUUCGGCCGCCGCCGCCCCCAAUAAUGGGCAGAAUAAAAGUUUGGCGGCGGCGGCGCCCAAUGGCAACAGCAGCAGCAACUCCUGGGAGGAAGGCAGCUCGGGCUCGUCCAGCGACGAGGAGCACGGUGGCGGCGGCAUGCGGGUCGGACCCCAGUACCAGGCGGUGGUGCCCGACUUCGACCCCGCCAAACUAGCAAGACGCAGUCAAGAACGAGACAAUCUUGGCAUGUUGGUCUGGUCGCCUAAUCAGAAUCUAUCAGAAGCAAAAUUGGAUGAGUACAUUGCCAUCGCUAAGGAGAAGCAUGGGUACAACAUGGAACAGGCUCUUGGGAUGCUCUUUUGGCAUAAGCAUAAUAUUGAAAAAUCAUUGGCUGAUUUGCCCAACUUCACCCCCUUCCCAGAUGAGUGGACUGUGGAAGAUAAAGUCUUGUUUGAGCAGGCCUUCAGUUUUCACGGGAAGACAUUCCAUCGGAUCCAGCAAAUGCUUCCUGAUAAGUCUAUAGCAAGUCUGGUGAAAUUUUACUACUCCUGGAAGAAGACGAGGACUAAAACCAGCGUGAUGGAUCGCCACGCUCGCAAGCAGAAACGAGAGCGGGAGGAAAGUGAGGAUGAGCUAGAAGACCCAAACGGAACUAACCCAGUUGACGCUGAGAUUGAUCAAAACAAGGAAAGCAAGAAGGAGGUUCCCCCUACUGAGACAAUUCCUCAGAUCAAAAAAGAAAAACACAGUACACAAGCUAAGAACAGAGCAAAAAGGAAACCUCCGAAAGGAAUGUUUCUCUCUCAAGAAGACGUCGAGGCCGUUUCCGCCAAUGCCACUGCUGCUACCACGGUGCUGAGACAGCUGGACAUGGAGCUGGUUUCGAUCAAACGUCAGAUUCAGAAUAUUAAACAGACAAACAGUGCUCUCAAAGAAAAACUUGAUGGCGGAAUAGAACCGUAUCGGCUUCCAGAGGUCAUUCAGAAGUGUAACGCACGCUGGACCACGGAGGAGCAGCUUCUGGCCGUGCAAGGUAGGAGGAAGGCCCCUCACAGAGAGCUUGGGAAUGGUGGUCGCUUUGAGGAAACAGUCAUGCCCCAUCCUGCUCCUGGCACUUGCUUGAGGCUGAAGCGCCUUCUCAGGGGAUGGCACUCUUCUGGGGCACGUCCCCCUCGCCGGACAGCGGCCGUCCCUUUGGGCCUGAUGUGUUUCCUUUCCCCUGUCUCCCAAGAUGUAAAACUAACCCAGAAACCUCCGUGUCUGAAGGUCUUUCAUUUUAGCAGCUACUUUUUGGGUUCUGAAGAGUCAGAAAGUACAGAUUGAGUGUUAGGGCUGUAAGAUCGAAGGUCCUGGGGACGCUGCAAGGCACCCAGGGCGAUUGCUGGGUGACCCUAGUUACCUUGUGGCAUGUGAUGGGAGACAGGGACUCCUGGGUGACAGAGACACCCUGAGCUUUGCUGAUCAGCACCAGCACUGGGCCGCUUCUCUCAUCCGUGGGGCCAGUGCACUGGGGUGGUGCCUGCUAGCGAAGCCUCUGUGUCCUUAUCUGGGUAAGGGUAAACCUCAAUUGUGUGUGUGUCUUACUGUUUUUCUCUUGUGCUGAAAAAACUGCUUUCUUACACGCUUAGCCAUCAGGAAAUAUGGCCGAGACUUUCAGGCAAUCUCAGAUGUGAUCGGGAACAAAUCAGUGGUACAAGUGAAAAACUUUUUUGUAAAUUAUCGACGCCGCUUCAACAUAGAUGAAGUUUUACAAGAAUGGGAGGCAGAACACGGGAAAGAAGAAACCAAUGGUCCCAGCAACCAGAGGCCUGUCAAGUCCCCAGAGAACCCUCUCAAGAUGCCCGACGAGGAGGACGAGGCUGCUUCUGUUCUUGACGUCAGAUUCGCAUCUGCCUCAUGAGCAGCUCUGAGGCCUUGAGCACUCGGUGUGGACGACGGUGUUUCCCAGGACUCAGGUGUACCAGACACCACCUAGCCAUCCGCAUCACAUCUCUGUGGACAAGCAGCUAUUACCAAAAAGGCAUACACUUCCAGUCCUGUGCUGCAUCUGCCUUAAUUCUUCGCUCGUUCCUCUGUGCUGGCGCCACUCCCCGGAGAGCUCCGUGGCGUCUCUCCCUCCGCCUCCGUGCUGGGCCAGCCCCGUGGCCCGCGCGCCUCCUGCGGCUCGGGGCCGCCUAGGCCCGGGCUCCGGGCUCCGGGCCCGCCGACGGCAGCUCUUCCCGUCAGCAGCUUCAGAACAGGUAGCCGACUCGGAAGGGGCGACUCUGUUCCUGCAUGGCCUGCAACCUCUACCUUGUGCAUCAUGUAAUUUUCAGAGUACCGGGGACCCUGUUGGCCUUCUAGGAAGCUCCCUUUGUCCUUCUCUGAGGCACCCACCUAGGUGACAUCAUGCUCUGUGGAAAUCACAGUACACUGCAGCUGCAUCAUCACCCGUGUCGUGCCAGACGUCCCGGUGCAACUCCCGUCUCCCUGGACGCAGGUGUAGUGAUGCUUCACAAGUCGAGUCAGCGUCGGUCUCCCCCGUCCCUUCUCCCUCUCCGCCAGGCCCAAGGCUCACUCACAGCAGCUGCCCUUGGACACUAGCUAAGGGAACGGGGCCCUCCACACUUUCUGCCUUCAGCUUUCAGCGUUGGAAUCCCAGGACGGGUGCCGCCCUGUCUUUCCUGACCCCCCCCCCCGCCCCCCGCCCCCCAGCUCCAAGAGAUUUGGUCCACACCACUGUACCUGGUGCUUGUACAUUUGGAAUUGGUGCCUUCUCCUUUUGGCAACCACGUUAUCAACCCUUUUUCUGUUUUAGUGUCUUAUUUCUUCUUUGAAGUUUAUUGCUUGCCAAAGAUGACAUCACUGAGGUUAGGAGACAGGGGAGAACGUGCUGCAGAUUCUUGACAGAGUGCAGAUUGUAAACGUCAGGGUAGGGCAAUAAUAAAGGCCUUAGAAUAGCUGGCGAUGGUUUUGUAAGAGCUACGUGGUGUCUGUUCCCUGACCUCUUGGUAUGCCUGUCACUCCACGUAGCCUCUGUGUCCUUGGUGUGCUUGUGACACGCCAGCACCAUCCUCUCAGUGUGAUUCACUGUGCAGGACAGGAGGUGACGGUUACUGGUUCUCGUGAGACCAAGAUGGAAAGAAAAGUCUACAAAAGCGGUGUGUGGUACCUUUUGGUUGGACUGGGAACAAGUACAGAUGUUUAAUCAUUGUUUUAAAACUUCCAGAAUCACUUUUGUUCUCUUGCCAGACCGUGGGCCUGCUGAGGGGUCGAGGGCAGACUGUUGCACCGCGUUCUAGCAUCCCCUGUUUCCCAGCCCCACGGUCUGUUCAGCCUGCACUAAAUAUGUUGAAGGAGCUUGUUUUUGUUACUGGUUUUUGCAUCAUUUCGAUAUUUUUUCUUGCUUUCAAUACCAAAAAGGAAAAAAAAACUGCAGAUGCUUUAAGGCAUAAACAAAAUUGUUAAAAUUUUGAAAUAUGCAAUUAAAAUUUGAUGUUAUGGCUCCCAAGCACCUUGGCUUUUUUUUCUUUUUUCUUUUUAAGUCAGCUGACUUCCUCUUUAGGAGGAGGCUCAGCGAGAAACCUGGAUUGUUUUGUGAAAUCGGGAGAAAGAUCAUUCGAAAGGGGAGUAAAACGGGACCUGUCCCUUCGCCAGGUGCCCCUCGGUGCAGGAAGAGCUCAGCAGAGAGGAGGGCAGUCCCAGCUGACCGCUGCUGCCCGACAGGCGCUGCACGGUAACACUAGCCAAACGCGGGCUCCGUUGUGGUUUUUAUCACGAGCCUGCUGCGUAACUGGAACUCGGCAGGAAGAGCACGGGGAGGAGGCGACGUGUGCUUUGCACGUCGCUUCAAGGGGCACCGGGCCUGAUGGAAGCUUUAGCUUCUCCCUGCUUCUUCUCACCACCUCCUGCCUCUUAGCGGAAGCGGUAGGCAGUUUGCAGCGGGGGCUUCUCUCGCGCCUGGGGCGCUGUUCCUCUCUUCCCCCCAGACUGUUUUCCUUAAGAAUGGAUCCUGGUGGGCAGCGCUUUGAAGGCUCGAUGCUGGAUCCUGUGUGGCACGGCCAGCACAUGGGCAGCGCCAGGCCUCCGGCUCUGCUGGGCACCCCCCUUACCUGGUUCCUGGCCCCAGGCGGUCUCCGGCGGAGUCCCUGUGCUGGUGUGCUGGCGAUGAGUAAGAGCGGCGGAAAGUUUGGCUUUCUGUCCAAGGCGAAGGGCCAUGUCGUUUUCAUUUGCCAGCAGGAAGAAUGAUAGUUGUCUUUGCCUGACUGCCUUCGUUGUCGCUUCGUGCACGAGACAGCACUGUGUUUUCAGCUGGUUCGUCACACUGUCUUUGCAGUGAUGUUCUAAGUGCAAGAAAUCACUUCGCUUUAGAAGCCGAGUGACUUGGUCUCAUUUAUGGGAAGACCCCUUUUAGCAGAUCCAGACUUCAGAGCAUCAGCAGGUCUGUUUGGAUGCGUGAGGGUCCUUAGGGACAGCCGCUGCGGAUGCAGUGUUCACUUAAGCUUUGUCUUCUUAAAAGUUAUCAAUGUGAAUGUCAUAAUUAUAUAUAUAUUUUUUGUGGAAAUUUUCUCCUAAGUAUAAGUUAUUGUACAAAAUAUAGUACCAUUGAAGCAAAUGAUAGUUUAACUUUUAGUUUAGAAAUCCUAAAAGAUAUAAAUGUAUUGCAUAUGCAUUAAAAGUUUGUUUUAUUUAAUUUUAUGUAGAUGUGUAAAGUGUUAGGUAAAAUUUUUUUCACUUACUCAUUUACACGCCUUGUUACUUGAAUCUCGUGGGACAGCCUGCAGCAGCAACGGGGACUGUAACACAGCCCUUUCACCGCGAGGCCCCGGGCCUCCGCUGGGCUGGCGCCCAGGCGGUGCCGGUGCCAGUGGGCGCCGGAGGCUGGUGUGACGCCCACCCCACCCCCACCCGGACGCGGCUCCUCAAGCCGGCUGCUGAUAGCUUUCAACCUAUCAGAUCCUUCUUUGGUCGUCACAAACCUCUGGUCAGAACAUGGAGAAGAAAUCGCGUUUUAAAGCUUACGUGGUAGACUGACUAAGCAGCUGUCGCGUGCAUCUAAGGUUUGCUCGUUCUCACGCACCCCUCUGAGUGCUCAUCGUCACUUUAAAUUGCAGCUACGCCCUAUUUUUGUCUUUCUGAACAUCAGAUGUACUAUUGGUAUAAUUGCCUACCAAAAAUAAGCCAAAUAGUGCAUUACACUAGCUGGAUCCCUGCUUCCGUGACAGAGGGCAGAUGGCAGUACCUCGAGCGAGAGCCUCGUUUCUCUUGUCCGGCCUGUGUCUGAUCGAGUGACCCAGGACGCAGGCUCUCAAUGUCAAGGGAGACUCUGCCUCAUGUUGACUCAAGGUAGUUAGCUAAUUGGAAUCUGGUGACCGCGUGCAGUGCUCAGAAACAAACCCUCUUGCUGCCGCUCCCGGUCUCUGCAGCGUUUCCUAAUUCUAGCAAAGCACAAUUGCGGUGAGGUCGCAGUUGGGAAGAAGGAAGGGCAGUACAGUCUAUGCAUGUUGUAUGAUAAUGAGUGUUUACAGCCGCCUUCUCCUAAAACUAAACCUAAACCUGAUACCGGAGCGGCUCGUAUUCCAUUGUGUAGACUUAUCAACUUUGCUAAGUGCUUUUUAGAUUGCUUAAAAAUUUUUCAAGAUUUUAAAAGAUGUAUAAGGUUAAGUUUGCAAAUAUAAUGGAAAUGCUGUAUAUCUUUUGAAGUGAUAAAAAUCCAUGUUGGAAUUUUAAAGAGAAUACGUUGUAAUAAUGCUGUUGUAAGUAAUAUUUUAAUGUCUCUUUCUGCCUGUUUUCUAUUUCAGCACAUUCAUUGUGGUGAAUGUCCAUAGCAUUAUAAUUGCUUAGCCAUCGAAUGAUAACAUUUGUUAGUAGAGAUUUAAAAAUUUAUUUGUGAAAUUCUGCAGAAUUCAUUUUUCUAUUUCCAAUAUUUGCUGAAGUUAAAUAAAAAUUUUCAAGCCGUUGAUGUAAUAAACUAUGAAACCGAAAGAA
This is a non-coding RNA of Sus scrofa (pig), 6377 nucleotides long. The record is from RefSeq and is a predicted model, not a curated record. NCBI's taxonomy places the organism in Eukaryota, Metazoa, Chordata, Mammalia, Artiodactyla, Suidae.